UCGCAGGUCGUGGAAUAGCGGUUCAACGACUGGCUCUAACCCAGUACAUGUGGGUUCGAAUCCCACUUCGUGAA
RNAcentral lists this transfer RNA (74 nucleotides) under Heliconius melpomene (postman butterfly). Its description in RNAcentral is "tRNA HMEL016811". It matches the Rfam family "tRNA". Rfam says of the family: Transfer RNA (tRNA) molecules are approximately 80 nucleotides in length. Their secondary structure includes four short double-helical elements and three loops (D, anti-codon, and T loops). Further hydrogen bonds mediate the characteristic L-shaped molecular structure. tRNAs have two regions of fundamental functional importance: the anti-codon, which is responsible for specific mRNA codon recognition, and the 3' end, to which the tRNAs corresponding amino acid is attached (by aminoacyl-tRNA synthetases). tRNAs cope with the degeneracy of the genetic code in two manners: having more than one tRNA (with a specific anti-codon) for a particular amino acid; and 'wobble' base-pairing, i.e. permitting non-standard base-pairing at the 3rd anti-codon position. The record is from RNAcentral. Lineage: Eukaryota; Metazoa; Arthropoda; Insecta; Lepidoptera; Nymphalidae.